CGAUAGCGUAUAUUAAAGUUGUUGCAGUUAAAAAGCUCGUAGUUGGAUUUGUGGUGUACGCCGGCGGCCCGUCGCAAGACGGAGCUUGCUUGCGUCGCCAUCCUUGGGUGGAUCCUGUGUGGCAUUCAGUUGUCGUGCAGGGGAUGCCCAUCGUUUACUGUGAAAAAAUUAGAGUGUUCAAAGCAGGCUUAUGCCGUUGAAUAUAUUAGCAUGGAAUAAUAAGAUAGGACCUUGGUACUAUUUUGUUGGUUUGCGCACCAAGGUAAUGAUUAAUAGGGACAGUUGGGGGUAUUCGUAUUCCAUUGUCAGAGGUGAAAUUCUUGGAUUUUUGGAAGACGAACUACUGCGAAAGCAUUUACCAAGGAUGUUUUCAUUAA
This 377-nucleotide ribosomal RNA is filed under the name uncultured eukaryote. RNAcentral's name for it is "partial 18S ribosomal RNA". It matches the Rfam family "Eukaryotic small subunit ribosomal RNA", at positions 592 to 976 of the family's 1831-position model. The record is from RNAcentral.